RNAcentral lists this ribosomal RNA (492 nucleotides) under uncultured bacterium. Its description in RNAcentral is "partial 16S ribosomal RNA". It matches the Rfam family "Bacterial small subunit ribosomal RNA", at positions 29 to 507 of the family's 1533-position model. The record is from RNAcentral.
AGUGAACGCUGGCGGUAGGCCUAACACAUGCAAGUCGAACGGCAGCACAGUAAGAGCUUGCUCUUACGGGUGGCGAGUGGCGGACGGGUGAGGAAUACAUCGGAAUCUACUUUUUCGUGGGGGAUAACGUAGGGAAACUUACGCUAAUACCGCAUACGACCUACGGGUGAAAGCAGGGGAUCUUUGGACCUUGCGCGAUUGAAUGAGCCGAUGUCGGAUUAGCUAGUUGGCGGGGUAAAGGCCCACCAAGGCGACGAUCCGUAGCUGGUCUGAGAGGAUGAUCAGCCACACUGGAACUGAGACACGGUCCAGACUCCUACGGGAGGCAGCAGUGGGGAAUAUUGGACAAUGGGCGCAAGCCUGAUCCAGCCAUACCGCGUGGGUGAAGGAGGCCUUCGGGUUGUAAAGCCCUUUUGUUGGGAAAGAAAAGCAGCAGGUUAAUACCCCGCUGUUCUGACGGUACCCAAAGAAUAAGCACCGGCUAACUUCGUG